CGGGACUCUCACGAGGCCUCGUAAUCGGAAUGAGUACACUUUAAAUAUUUUAACGAGGAACAAUUGGAGGGCAAGUCUGGUGCCAGCAGCCGCGGUAAUUCCAGCUCCAAUAGCGUAUACUAAAUUUGUUGCGGUUAAAAAGCUCGUAGUUGCAUUUGUGCGCCGCGCUGUCGGUGCACCGCAUUCGCGGUGAUACUGAUACGUAUGCGGAGCAUAUCGUCGGUGAGCCGUCGGUCAAACGACGGUUCAAUAUCAAAAUCCUAUCGCGGUGCUCUUCAGUGAGUGUCGAGGUGGGCCGACAAUUUUACUUUGAACAAAUUAGAGUGCUCAAAGCGGGCUCAAAACGCUGCUUGAAUAUUUCGUGCAUGGAAUAAUAGAAUAUGAUCUCGGUUCUAUUUUGUUGGUUUUCAGAACUCCGAGGUAAUGAUUAAUAGGGAUAACUGGGGGCAUUCGUAUUGCGACGUUAGAGGUGAAAUUCUUGGAUCGUCGCAAGACGAACAUCAGCGAAAGCAUUUGCCAAAGGUGUUUUCAUCAAUCAAGAACGAAAGUUAGAGGUUCGAAGGCGAUUAGAUACCGCCCUAGUUCUAACCGUAAAUAUGUCAUCUAGCGAUCCGCCGACGUUAAUCAAAUGGCUCGGCGGGCAGCUUCCGGGAAACCAAAGAUUUUGGACUCCGGGGGGAGUAUGGUUGCAAAGCUGAAACUUAAAGGAA
This 710-nucleotide ribosomal RNA is filed under the name Cuphodes wisteriella. RNAcentral's name for it is "SSU rRNA". It matches the Rfam family "Eukaryotic small subunit ribosomal RNA", at positions 486 to 1152 of the family's 1831-position model. The record is from RNAcentral. Lineage: Eukaryota; Metazoa; Arthropoda; Insecta; Lepidoptera; Gracillariidae.